AGAGUUUGAUCAUGGCUCAGGAUGGACGCUAGCGGGAGGCUUAACACAUGCAAGUCGAGGGGCAGUCCCGAUAGUAAUAUCGGGAGCGACCGGCGCACGGGUGAGUAACGCGUAUGCAACCUAUCCUGUACUGGAAAAUAACCCGGAGAAAUUCGGACUAAUAUUCCAUAAUGAUAUUGAGAGGCAUCUUUUAAUAUUUAAAGUUCCGACGGUACGGGCUGGGCAUGCGUAACAUUAGCUAGUUGGCAGGGUAACGGCCUACCAAGGCAACGAUGUUUAGGGGUCCUGAGAGGGUGAUCCCCCACACUGGUACUGAGACACGGACCAGACUCCUACGGGAGGCAGCAGUGAGGAAUAUUGGUCAAUGGGCGCAAGCCUGAACCAGCCAUCCCGCGUGAAGGAAGAAGGCGCUAUGCGUUGUAAACUUCUUUUCCAGGGGAAUAAAAUUUUGUACGUGUACGGAAUUGAAGGUACCCUGGGAAUAAGCAUCGGCUAACUCCGUGCCAGCAGCCGCGGUAAUACGGAGGAUGCAAGCGUUAUCCGGAUUUAUUGGGUUUAAAGGGUGCGCAGGCGGAAAGAUAAGUCAGUGGUGAAAUCCUGCAGCUUAACUGUAGAAUUGCCGUUGAUACUGUUUUUCUUGAGUGUGGUCAAGGAAGGCGGAAUGUGUAAUGUAGCGGUGAAAUGCUUAGAUAUUACACAGAACACCAAUUGCGAAGGCAGCUUUCUGGGCCGUGACUGACGCUCAUGCACGAAAGCGUGGGGAUCGAACAGGAUUAGAUACCCUGGUAGUCCACGCCGUAAACGAUGAUCACUAGCUGUUGGCGAUACACAGUCAGCGGCAAAGCAAAAGCAUUAAGUGAUCCACCUGGGGAGUACGGCCGCAAGGCUGAAACUCAAAGGAAUUGACGG
This 909-nucleotide ribosomal RNA is filed under the name uncultured bacterium. Its description in RNAcentral is "bacterial SSU rRNA". It matches the Rfam family "Bacterial small subunit ribosomal RNA", at positions 8 to 916 of the family's 1533-position model. The record is from RNAcentral.